UUGAUUCAUUUUCGAAACGCCCACGAAGGGGCGCCGAGAAGGCUCAGAAAGUAAAAAACCCGCGAGGGGGUAUACAAAAAGAGUUUUGGUUGGUCCUCCGGCGGGCGCCUUGGUCCGGGGCUGCGACGCACCCGGGGCAGAAGAUCCCGCCGAGGCAACAGUUUGGUAACGUUCACAUUGGGUUUGGGAGUUGUAAACUCGGUAAUGAUCCCUCCGCUGGUUCACCAACGGAGA
RNAcentral lists this unclassified non-coding RNA (234 nucleotides) under uncultured fungus. RNAcentral's name for it is "sequence contains ITS1". Lineage: Eukaryota; Fungi. The record is from RNAcentral.